RNAcentral lists this long non-coding RNA (7011 nucleotides) under Coffea arabica (coffee). RNAcentral describes it as "long non-coding RNA (CARA_LNC000147)". The record is from RNAcentral. Lineage: Eukaryota; Viridiplantae; Streptophyta; Magnoliopsida; Gentianales; Rubiaceae.
AAGAAAAAAAACGGAGUGAAGAGCAAUGGCAAGAGGAUCUGCAGAGUAACGGCUGAAAACAAAAAAAGGGAAAGAAAAGAGGGAGGCAACCGAGAGCAGGGGGAGGGCCGAGAAAAAGAAAAGCAAAAAGGAAACGGCUGGAGAGGUUGGUGGCGGCAUAAAAGGGAAGUAAGUGACGGCUGGAAAGGGAGGCUUUGAGAGAGUUUUGGCCGAGCAGGAAGCAAGGAAAACCAGGGGGGGACAGCCGCAACUUUGGCAAAAACAAAAGAGAGAAAGCCAGAGAGAGGAGGGGUUUGGAGUGAGAUACGUGAGCGGAUGAAACAAGAGAGUAACGGCGAGGGUCUUUGAGGAGAGAACAAAAGAGACGGAUCCGGGAAAGAAAAAAUGAAAAGCUGAUUAUCAGCUAUGUUUUAGCCCUCAUAUCUCUUCAGUUUUUGAUGAUUCCAAGAAAAAUUCGAGUUCUGCAUCAACUAGGAAGUAAGGGGAGAAGAUUUUGUUCAGAGAUCGAUCGCAAAGGACAUUGAUAAGGUCUUCGAAUCUGCCCCCAAAGACCGCUGCCUAGCUUCAUUGGUGCGGGUUCGAAGCUGCGACGGAGCAACUUCAGCGCCUACUCCACGUUUUUUUUCCCUGCUUUGUUUCGAUCCAAAAGCUUCCUCAGGUAUCUUCUUAAGCUGAUAUUCUUUUGUGGUUGGGCCGUGUUCUUGUGUUGUUUUAGUGUUUUUUUUUGUUUUGUCGCUGCUGAUGUUUGUAGUUGCUUGCUGAUUUAUGUGCUUCCUUGUUCGUUUGUAUAGUUUUAAUCUUGCCUAUGAAGUGUUCGGUCAUUUCGUUGAGAAGUGAGUUUGAAUUCUUGAUGUCGAGCUUUAGGGUAGAAUUCGCUGCUAUCAUGGUUCGUAGCAGCAAAGGAUGAGUAUGUAUAGAAUUAGAUAUGGCUUGAUUUCAAAAAUAUGACAAAGCUGGAAACUGGAAGCUUUUUCCUUUCUUGCUGACCGAAUGGUCAAACCUGUUUUGGGAGGUUAUAUUUCGAAAGUUUUAGUGUCAUUUAACCAUCAAUUUCUUGUUAAAUGUUUCGGGAACUUUAGUUUAAAAAAUGGAGUGAAUUGAGGUUGAUUUCAUUGGACAAAACCUUUGGAAAGAAAGAAAGAGUGGGUUGGCAGAUUUGCUUUGAAAAUUUCACAAACUUUGGCCAUUUUGUAAACCGCCUUCCCACAUGAGUUUUUGCCUAUAAUUUGAUAGAGAGGUAGUCCACAUAUGAAUUUUAAGUAUACCAAAUUUGGCAUAAUUUCAAUACCAUGUUGAUAUCCAAAUGAUGCCCCAAAGAUUGCUCUUCAAAUCUGGAAAUUCACUGAUCAGUUUGCAAGAUUCAGCUGACUUUAAACUGUUAUAUCUUGAUGCUCAAAACUCCGAAUUUGGUUCUGUUUAUCGUGUUUGAAACCUCGUUUGGAACCCUUAUUGUGUUAUGAAUUUCAAGGGCUGAUUCACUUUCUGUGAAUUAUAUCUAAUUUCCAAGAUUGCUGGAAAACAAGACUGGUUCAAACCUGUCUUCUUGGAACUGAAAUUUUGAGCUGAAAAAAUGAAUGCUUUUCAUUUAGAAUCUUGGAAAAGUGUCUUCUAGGAACAUUUAGUACUUCGAACCUAGUUUCCGAUGGUAUAAGUUUCCAUUUUUGGACAUGCCAAACUCAACAUUUGAUUUUCCAAAGAUCAUCGCGCAAAUGUUCCAAUUGAACACUUUCUAUUUUUUAUUAUUCUCAAAGGAGAAGAUUAUUCUCUUUAACAAACAUAUACUGAUCCAAUCACGAUCUUAUGAUAAGAAACAAGAGAUCUUGCCCCUCAUUCUCGAGAAUCAGAAAGAUCCUUUUCAAAUUUGAAUUUGUUUAUUUGGAAUCUCUGAUUUCUUAGGAAAUGAGUUUUUAAGAACUUGUUACUCUCUCUCGAUAUCGAUAGACCAUUUUAAACUCAAUUUCAUGAAGAGGCAAGUCUCUCUUCGGACUUUAAAUCCUUACUUUGAACCUCGAUUUUCGAGAGAUUUAAAGUUUUCUUUCAUGACAUUGUCUUAGUAUUGCACAAGUGUACAUUCUUCCUUGUUGGCAUAGGGUUUGUAAGUAUUUGUAAGUGAUAGUCAAUUAUUAUUUCUUCAGGCGCUCAAGAGAUCUUCAAGAGAAUCUCGGAGCAGACACUAAAAGCUUAUUUGCUCACUUACUACUUUUUGACUUGGUGAGUGUCAAGUGCAUGAUUUGUUGUUAAAUAUGUGAAUUGCUUCUUGUUAAUCAUGUGGAUUAGAAUUACCGAGAUGAAUGUGUGUACUGUAUCGCACUUGUUCUCUUUUAAAUGAAAUUAUGAUCGAACUUCGCUAUGUGAAUUGAUAUUCGACUUGUUGAAAUGAUGUGGUUGUGAAUCGUAUUUGUAAUCAUCGAUUGGAGCGUUGUCUUGUCGACUUAUAUGUAUAUUCGGGGGAUACCAAAACUGUGACGGCCCCAUCUCUCCCUAAGGCGAACGAAAGGGUAUCCACGGGACGCCUGCCAACUCUCGCAAGGACUCAUGGCAAUAUCCAUUCAAGCUUAGCACAAUACUAUUCGACAACACCAGAUAAGUAAGAAAAUGCAGAAAACUUUCAAACUUAACAAUAUAUAUUAUAUAUAUAACGAUUAUCCAAUCCUUACAUCAAAUUCCCAAAAGUUAUAUCAAUACCCAAAAUAUACAACAUCCCAGUACAUCAAAUAUCCAAAUCAUACAUCAGGUUCCAAAAGUACAACCAAUAAGAGGUCUAGCCAAAAUACAUUAGAAACCCUAAGCCAAAAGUGCAUCAAAAGGGGUUCCUCAAAGUCUCAUUCCAUAUCCAAUCCUUUUAAGGAAAACAAAUCUACAGGGUGAGCAAAACGCUCAUGAGACCAAGAAUACACAUGCAAGCACAUUGUUCAAGUAACAAUCCCAAUUUAACAAGUAGAGCAAUAAUGUUGCAAUAAAUAACAAUUCGAGCGGAAAAAGUAAACAAAACAAUUCAAGGAUAUCAGAGCUCUCAGGAGCUAAUUUCCACUUGCUUUGCCAAUGUCAAUCAUAUAGCUUCCCGCAAUGACACUCCGUCAACCGGGUUGGUAUUUCCAUUCUGUAGAGCAACUUAUUUCCCUCCGUCCACCGUGCAUCUCCCAGGCCCGCAAGACAUUUAUAAGGCGAUACUUCACGAGUAUGCCAAGCAAGACCUCUCAUUAGGUCGAGCUUAAUUAUCUCAUGGCUCGCCAAGGUUCCCAACCAAGCCCAUGCUGGCUCGAGUCCAAGGUCAGCCUAUGUGUUUGGGCAUCCCCAUUUACAUUUGAGAGUCGAGGAGAUUCACUCCAACGACGUAUGCAACCAUAACAUACCAUUUCAUUUCAUUCAAUCAUUCAAUCUCAUUCUCAUUCAAUUAAGUCAUUCAUAAUUCAUUCGUUUCAUUUGAAUCAUGAGUCAUUCAUUUCAAAUAAGAAUGAGUGCGGUAAAGUACACACUCGCCUCCAUUUUCAAAUCUCCAAACAAUCAUAACAAUUAAGCAUGUAUCAAGUAUUCAUACACUUGACACUCACCAAUAUAAGUAGUGAGGAAGAAAUGUCCCUCGGAGCUUAGGUGUUCACUGUGGGAUCCUUUGUGUGCCUGAACAAUUAACAAUGGUCUAUUACUGAUAAUCCUCAAACAAUGAGGAAGGUCGUACACUAGUACGAACUUAGAAAAUAUCUCGAAGAUCGGCCUAGUUUUCUUUUGAAAAUCGAGCUCAAAAGAGUUACAAAACUCGAGUAAACGAAUCACCAUCCAUAAAAUCAUUGGACAGAAACAAGUACAAGCAAAUAGAUCUCAAAACGAACGACCGAAGUCGGAAGAGGGCAGGUGACGUCACAAUCCGGCUGGAUUCCUGGCCGGAUUGGAGACAGAGGCUAACCUCCUUUUUUUUUCAAAAACCAACACCAAUCCGACCGCCUAUCCGGCCAAGAACUGGCGGAUUCAAGGCCGGAUUCUGAUGAAUAGUUUCCCGCGCGACUUUCUUUCAAAUGGUCACAAAUUUCAAUUUUUGGUGCAAUCUUUUGAAAAAUUAUAACUCACUCCUUGAUUGUCCAAAAUUGAAAACUUUGGUACCGUUGGAAACAUCAUUCAAAGUACUAAAAUUUGUUAGAAGACACCUUUCCAUGAAUCCAAGUGGAAGGCAUUCGAAUUUUGGCUUGAAGUUGAUAACCUGCGUUAUCAAGACAGUAUUAAGUUCGUUUCUGGCCAACUUUGAAAAUUCGGCAAAAUUCACUCUAUUUGAACUAGCCUUUGAAAUUUGGAACUCUAUCAGAGUUGUAAUCUUAGUUUAAAAUAGAACAAGCAGAAUGAGAAUUGAAGUUUUGAGCACCAAGAAAUGGUAGCUCAAUGUUACACAAAUUUCCUUGUUAAACAAGGGUUUUUCCAAAAUCAAGUCAUGAACUUUGGAAGUUUAGUUGAACAAUGAAACGGCCUCGGAAUAACACCAAAAUUAGCAGUAUUACACUACCAUAUAAGGGUUAUUCCUAUACCAAAUUUCAUGGAUAAAUAAGUACGAAAACUGGGUUAACAAGACCGUUGAAUUCACAAGAAAUUCUAAGGCUAAACUGCCUUUGAACUUCCGUUUUGCCGUUUCCAAGCACAUGGUCAAGAAACAUCUCAAACAUGGUCCAUUACAGUAGGUAAUGUCUAAAAUAUGUUCAAGGUACAUUCGAUAGGUGAUUUACACUAAGAAGCUUCGGAUAACAAGUUCCAAAUCAUUGUUAGUUUCAAAUCUGUCCAAAUACAUGGUAUUCCUUCACAAGACCAGAUUUGAAUUUUGAUCAUAAAUCACUCAAUUCAACUCAAAAUUGAGCAUGGUUGGUGGAGUUGGAAAUAGACUCAUAAGGCUACAUUUUCUCAGAAGAAACAGUUUUCAAAAUCCGUCCACAACUAGUUCACAUUUGAGCCUCAAAAUACAGUUCAUGUUCUGCCCUGUAGUGAACCAAUGAAACAAAACAGCAAUCUUUAAAUGAAUGGUUUGGCUCACACAAGUGGAACCAAAACAUGAAUUUCACACCAAUGGAAAGCUGGGAAUGUCUAGUUUCCAGUGCCACAAACGGCACUCGAUUCUGACAUCAGAACGAUGAGUUAUAGCCAAAACAAGAUGACUGCCUGGGCAGUAACAGGAACCAAUUCCAGAUUUCUAAGCUUCCAAAAUUCCAACAUUUGGGUGACCAAAUCAAGUUAUUUUUCAAUGAAACUUUUUACACACUCAAUAUAACUUGUAAACAACAUAAACAAACCAUUAGAACCUCAAAAUUUCGUACCAAAGUGCUCGAACAAAGCAGGGGCAAAAUGGUCACUUUUGGUUAUUGCACCAUCCUUGAGUUUCUAUCAAUAACCCAACAUUAAUCCACCAAUAUAAGCACUCAACCAACAUUAAUUUCAUCAUCAAUCACCAAAUCAGUCCAUCCAAUCCAAGUGGGAGUUCCUAGAGCUCACACAACAAUUUUUCAACAUAUCCAACAUAUCCAAUUUUUCACAUAACCCUCCUUUUCGUAGCACUAGACAGGAACAAUUAAACAAGAACAAGUAACUAAAACCACUAUCUCGUGGAGCAUUUAAACACAUAACACAUAUACAGAGAACACAUAACCGGAUUAAGCAAUUAUAUAGAACAGUCAAUCAAGUACAUACUGUAGACACCAAAUUUUGGUGUAAUUUCAUUUACUAUUUAUUUAUUUUUUUUUUAGUUUGUGCUCGUUUUAUUCACUUUUUAGUUUUUAGUUUUUUAGUUUUUUGUGUGUUAUUAUUAUUAUUUUUAAGUUUUUAGCAUAGAAUUUCUCGAAAAGAAAAGAAAAGCAUUCAAAAAAAUAUGUUUUCAUUGUUUUGAUUUAAAUGCAAUGUUUUCUUGGAAAAAAUGGAAAAAUGAGAAUGAAAAUGAAAAAUGGAAAAAAAAAAGAGAAAAGAAAAAUCAUAAAAAAGGAUAAAAAAGAGAAAAAAGGAAAAUCAUAAAAAAGGAAAAAAAAAGAGAAAAUUGUUCACAAAAAUACGUUCAAAUUCAAUCUUUGGGCACUUUAGUUAUUUUCUAAAAAGAAAAGAAAAAGGGGGAAAAAUGAAGAAAAUUUGAAAAAUGGACAUUUUUGUUUAGUUUUUUGUUUAAAAUUAUUUUUGUUUUAUUAUUAUUAUUAUCUGGUUUUUGUCAAUUUGUUAUUAUUAUUAUUUAUAUUUUAUCAUUUCUGUAUUUAUUAAGUAGAAAGUUAAAAAAGAAAAAAAAAAAAAAGGGUCACGCAUGCCAAAAGCUGCGUGUUGCCGCAGCUUGCAAGAAGAAAUGGCAGGGAGUCCUUGGGGAGUAAAAUUGGCUACAAAGGCCAGGUGUCUAGGACACCUGGCAGGGGGAUGAAUCUAUAAGGAGGGGGCUAGGUUUUUGAGCUAAGGAAGAGAGAGUGAGAGAGAAGGGCGGCUGCAAAGAAAAAAAACGGAGUGAAGAGCAAUGGCAAGAGGAUCUGCAGAGUAACGGCUGAAAACAAAAAAAGGGAAAGAAAAGAGGGAGGCAACCGAGAGCAGGGGAGGGCCGAGAAAAAGAAAAGCAAAAAGGAAACGGCUGGAGAGGUUGGUGGCGGCAUAAAAGGGAAGUAAGUGACGGCUGGAAAGGGAGGCUUUGAGAGAGUUUUGGCCGAGCAGGAAGCAAGGAAAACCAGGGGGGGACAGCCGCAACUUUGGCAAAAACAAAAGAGAGAAAGCCAGAGAGAGGAGGGGUUUGGAGUGAGAUACGUGAGCGGAUGAAACAAGAGAGUAACGGCGAGGGUCUUUGAGGAGAGAACAAAAGAGACGGAUCCGGGAAAGAAAAAAUGAAAAGCUGAUUAUCAGCUAUGUUUUAGCCCUCAUAUCUCUUCAGUUUUUGAUGAUUCCAAGAAAAAUUCGAGUUCUGCAUCAACUAGGAAGUAAGGGGAGAAGAUUUUGUUCAGAGAUCGAUCGCAAAGGACAUUGAUAAGGUCUUCGAAUCUGCCCCCAAAGACCGCUGCCUAGCUUCAUUGGUGCGGGUUCGAA